Molecule: non-coding RNA, 932 nt
Organism: Theobroma cacao (cacao)
Lineage: Eukaryota; Viridiplantae; Streptophyta; Magnoliopsida; Malvales; Malvaceae
Source: RefSeq, a predicted model, not a curated record
GAUUGCGCACAAAAAAAAAAAAUUGGGAAUUUCUUUGUGGAACACCUACCUCAGGAUGCUCUGAAAUUUUCAAUUAUUCAUUAGAAGCUUUCAAAUCCAAAUUUGGUGGACAAAGCAGCUAACUCUCUCUAACUUUCAUUGCAAACCCACCAUACUUACCAUAAUAAGACAACCUAACACGCAAACCACACGUUGUCUACGCAAUCCCAAUUGGCUGAUCUGCCCCAUCUUUCUUCCUCAAAUCUUUCACUUCUCUCUUCAAUUCAAGAAAAAAAAAAUUCCCACCAAGGGAAUAUUCUUUCUAUUUCCAUUGUUCUUGAUGAAUUUUAAUGAUACAAGGCAAUCAAGGGGAAGCAUGUGUAGCAGUGAUGGCCCUGGUGGUGGUGUUCAAGGAAGAAAGAGCAGAAAAAGGGGUUCAUUCAAAGCAUGUUGCCACUGCCCCUGUGUUAGAGUGACAGCCUCAGCAUUCAGAGGCCUAGGGAGAUGCUUGUUUGUGAGUUGUUACCCUGUCAUGCAAUGUUUUGGCUGGGAUGACUGUAGACACCACCACCAUCACCACAGGCAUUUCCAUUGAUUCCCCACUCUUUUCUUCUUUUCUUUGAAUUGUAUGCAAGGAUCAGAAUUGUGAUUUGGUCCUGUCUCAGCAGAAGAAAAAUAACUUGUAUGGUGCUUCCACAGGAUCAAAAAUAGCCUAGUUUUGUCAGGUUUUAAGAUGAACAUAUACAAUUUUCUUUCUUUUUUGGGGGGUUCUUUUGUGCUCCUUUUUCCUAAGGGAGAAAAAAAAGAGGAGGAAAAGAACAAAAGGAAUCCAAUCACUUGGGUUUGAAUGAAUCCAAAAAAUUUGAAGGUUUCGUCAAUGCUUAGUAUAGGAAUCUGCAUUUGGCUGAUGUGUUAUCUUAUCAUUAUCUGCUACUUUUUCCAUUGAUUUAAAA